CUAAAAAAAAAAAAAUCACAUUCAUAGAAGGAAUUCCAACAGAGCUUUGUCUUAACUCACUAGAUCCUAUGGAAUACUUGACUUUAAAUCUCACUGAAAACCAAAUAACAAAAAUCCAAAGCAAUGAAAAAAUCUCUAGCUAUAGAGAAUGUGCAAUGAUAUGCAAUAGAAAUUAAGAGGAGAAUACAAGUUUGAGAUGGAUGAGUAAUCUGCUGAAGAUCACUGAAUGAAUGUGCAAGGAAACCAUAACAUAAAUCCAUGUCUCUUUCUACUACUCAAUUUUUUCCUGUUACUAAUAUCAUUUUUAAAAAUAAUAUUUAUGGGGUUACAAUUUAUGUUUAAUAAGCUUUACCCAUUUUACCACGUUAUGACCCAACAAGAAAGCCUUCACCAGAUGCGGCCACUUGAUGUUGAACUUCCCAGCCUCUAGAACCACAAGGUCAGCAUAAUAUUUUUCAAACUCAUGCAUGCUCCUGCAUAUAUCAAUAGCUCAUUUGUUUUUAUUGCUGAGUAUUAUUCCAUGGAAUGAAAAUGACAUGACAUCUGUUCAUCCAUUCACUUGUUAAUAGACAUUUAAUUUGCUUCUAAGUUUUGGCUAGAAUAAAUACAAUUUUUAUGAAUAUGCAUGUGCAAGCCUUUGUGUGAACAGUUAUCUUCAUUUAUCUUGGGUAAAUAUCCAGGAGUGCAAUUGCUAAGCCAUUUGGUUCAUAAAAAUUUACUUCAAUAAGACACUGAUAAAUUCUAUUUCAAAGUAGUUGUACCCUUUAAAAUCUUCACCAGAAGUGUAUGAGAGUUCCAUUUGCUCUACAACCUUGCCAAUUUUUUUAGCGUGAGUUUUUUUUAGCAGUUCUAAUAAGUAUUUAUAAUGCUGAACAUCUUUUUCAUAUGUUUAUGGCUAUGUCACUUAUAUAGCUUCUUUUGUAAAAUAUCUGUUCAAAUUUUUCUCCUCUUUAUUGCUUUGGUUAAAAAAUCUUCUUAUUGCAGUGUGUCUGUUUUACAUUUAUAUAUUUUGGAUUCAAGUUUUUUUUUUCAAAUACAUGCAUAACAAAUUUUUUUCACAUUCUGUGUCUUGUUUUUUCAUUUUCCUAAUGAUGUCUUUUUAAAAGAGUGUAAUGUUUGUAAAUCCCAAUUAAUUAAUAUAUUUAAUAGUUAUGUUUCUCUGUUCUAUUUAAGAAAUAUUUGCCUAUACCAGGAUUGUAAAAAUCUUUUUUAUUCUAGAAAUUCUAUAAUUUUAGCAUAUAUACUUAGGUCUAUGAUUCAUGUCAAAUCUAUUUUUAUGUAUGGCAUGGGACGAUUAAUAGAUAUUCAUUUUCUUCCAGAUAGAAUCCUGUUGUUCUAGCAAUAUUUGCUUAAAAGUAAUUUGUUGAAAAUCAGUUGACCAUAUACAUGUGCGGCUAUUCCUAGGCUUUUUAUUCUGUUGCAAAAAAAUUACCUGAAAAUGUCCCAAAUUUCUUGAAAAACAUUUAUUGCAUUAACUACAUCUUCUUCCACCUCCAUUCCACUGUUAAGUUCAUCCAAUAAAUUUGUUGUUACACCUAACA
Molecule: long non-coding RNA, 1541 nt
Filed under: Homo sapiens (human)
Lineage: Eukaryota; Metazoa; Chordata; Mammalia; Primates; Hominidae
Description: HSALNT0179563
Source: RNAcentral